Molecule: ribosomal RNA, 174 nt
Filed under: Triticum aestivum (bread wheat)
Lineage: Eukaryota; Viridiplantae; Streptophyta; Magnoliopsida; Poales; Poaceae
Description: partial small subunit ribosomal RNA
Source: RNAcentral
AUGACACUGUACAACCACUUCACGCACACCAAAAAUGUUAAGCGCUUGAUAUCUGAAGAAGCAAAGAGUACUAAAGUUUUGGCAUAUAUUACUGCUCUUAAGAAAUUAUGCAACCAUCUGAUGGUAAUUAAUUCCAGUUUAAUGUUUCGCCCCAUGAUAUAUCUCUUUCAGUGA